AGCAGCCGCGGUAAUUCCAGCUCCAAUAGCGUAUAUUAAAGUUGUUGCAGUUAAAAGCUCGUAGUUGAAUUUCGGGAUUGGCGCAUCGGUCGUGCCUCACGGGGUAUGAACUGGUGCAGUCAAUUUCUCACCUUCUGGAGAACCGCGAUGUCCUUAAUUGGAUGCCGCGGGGAACCAGGACCUUUACUUUGAAAAAUUAGAGUGUUUAAAGCAGGCAUUUUUGCUUGAAUACAUUAGCAUGGAAUAAUAAAAUAGGACGGCAUGGUUCUAUUUUGUUGGUUUCUAGGACCACCGUAAUGAUUAAUAGGGAUAGUUGGGGGCACUAGUAUUCAAUUGUCAGAGGUGAAAUUCUUGGAUUUAUUGAAGACUAACUACUGCGAAAGCAUUUGCCAAGGAUGUUUUCAUUAAUCAAGAACGAAAGUUAGGGAUCGAAGACGAUCAGAUACCGUCGUAGUCUUAACCAUAAACUAUGCCGACUAGGAAUCAGACGAUGUUAAUUUUUAAUGUACUUCGUUUGGCA
RNAcentral lists this unclassified non-coding RNA (520 nucleotides) under uncultured Entrophospora. Its description in RNAcentral is "SSU rRNA". It matches the Rfam family "Eukaryotic small subunit ribosomal RNA", at positions 569 to 1085 of the family's 1831-position model. The record is from RNAcentral. Lineage: Eukaryota; Fungi; Glomeromycota; Glomeromycetes; Entrophosporales; Entrophosporaceae.